RNAcentral lists this ribosomal RNA (410 nucleotides) under Zobellia galactanivorans. RNAcentral's name for it is "bacterial SSU rRNA". It matches the Rfam family "Bacterial small subunit ribosomal RNA", at positions 89 to 494 of the family's 1533-position model. The record is from RNAcentral. Lineage: Bacteria; Pseudomonadati; Bacteroidota; Flavobacteriia; Flavobacteriales; Flavobacteriaceae.
UGACGACCGGCGCACGGGUGCGCAACGCGUAUACAAUCUGCCCCCUACUGUGGGAUAGCCCAGAGAAAUUUGGAUUAAUACCACAUGGUACCAUAUUACGGCAUCGUAUUUAUGGUUAAAGGUUACGGUAGGGGAUGAGUAUGCCGGUUCCCCAUUAGUUAGUUGGUGAGGUAACGGCUCACCAAGACCGCGAUGGGUAGGGGCCCUGAGAGGGGGAUCCCCCACACUGGUACUGAGACACGGACCAGACUCCUACGGGAGGCAGCAGUGAGGAAUAUUGGACAAUGGGCGGGAGCCUGAUCCAGCCAUGCCGCGUGCAGGAAGAAUGCCCUAUGGGUAGUAAACUGCUUUUAUACGGGAAGAAAAAGGGCUACGUGUAGCCUACUGACGGUACCGUAAGAAUAAGGACC